Pantherophis guttatus is the source of this 587-nucleotide long non-coding RNA. RefSeq lists it as uncharacterized. The record is from RefSeq and is a predicted model, not a curated record. NCBI's taxonomy places the organism in Eukaryota, Metazoa, Chordata, Lepidosauria, Squamata, Colubridae.
UUUUGCAGUAUCCUUCCCCUGCCACGCCCACCAAGCCGGUAGUAAAAAAAAAUAGAAUCUCUGCACCCCCUUUUUUUCAAACUGACUGUCACUCAAUUCUUGUGUGUGAUUUUCUGAGGGCAAGACAGCUGUGAGGUUUAUGAGGCGGAACAUUCUAGAAUAAUUUCCUAGUGAACACGACCACGGGGAAGAAGCUAAGGGUUCAAGCACCGGGAGAGCCGUGAGGAGAUUCGCACGGGGCCCCUUCAGGAUUGAGAAGCCGUGAGGCUAUUUUUACGGGUGUCUGCCUCCUCUGUUCCCUGCCAGAGAGUCAAGGCCAUGGUGCCCUACAAGCUGCCAUGAAGGGACUGGGAGCUAUCAUCAGUUUUGGAUGGAGCCUGAUUGGACCACAUGACGGACAUGUGGGUGCUGCACUUGAACUUUCUUUUGGGUGGAGAAAACCUGGAAACUUUCAGAAACUGGAAACUACCGGUUCGAUGAACCAGAUGUAAAUUUAGCGUCUGAUUCACCCGAACUGAUCCGAACCAUCUGAAUCCUACCCCUUGGAGUUGCGGGGGAAUAUUAAUAAACCCAGUAAAGCACAGUUA